CGCGUAGGCGGUGCGGUAAGUCACCCGUGAAACCUCCGGGCUCAACUCGGAGCCUGCAGGCGAAACUGCCGUGCUGGAGUGUGGGAGGGGUGCGUGGAAUUCCCGGUGUAGCAGUGAAAUGCGUAGAUAUCGGGAGGAACACCUGUGGCGAAAGCGGCGCACUGGACCACAACUGACGCUGAGGCGCGAAAGCUAGGGGAGCAAACAGGAUUAGAUACCCUGGUAGUCCUAGCCCUAAACGAUGGAUGCUUGGUGUAGCCGGUACCCAAUCCGGCUGUGCCGCAGCUAACGCGAUAAGCAUCCCGCCUGGGGAGUACGGUCGCAAGGCUGAA
Molecule: ribosomal RNA, 332 nt
Filed under: uncultured bacterium
Lineage: Bacteria
Description: bacterial SSU rRNA
Rfam family: Bacterial small subunit ribosomal RNA
Source: RNAcentral